This 440-nucleotide ribosomal RNA is filed under the name uncultured bacterium. RNAcentral describes it as "bacterial SSU rRNA". It matches the Rfam family "Bacterial small subunit ribosomal RNA", at positions 29 to 507 of the family's 1533-position model. The record is from RNAcentral.
AGCGAACGCUGGCGGCGUGCCUAACNCAUGCAAGUCGAACGUGAACGGCUUCGGCCAAGUAAAGUGGCAUACGGGUGAGUAACACGUGGAUAAUCUACCUGAGAGUCUGGAAUAACCUGCCGAAAGGCGGGCUAAUACCGGAUGAUGUCUUCGGACCAAAGAUUUAUCGCCUUUAGAUGGGCCCGCGUUGGAUUAGCUAGUUGGUGGGGUAAAGGCCUACCAAGGCGACGAUCCAUAGCUGGUCUGAGAGGAUGAUCAGCCACACUGGGACUGAGACACGGCCCAGACUCCUACGGGAGGCAGCAGUGGGGAAUAUUGGACAAUGGGCGAAAGCCUGAUCCAGCAAUGCCGCGUGAGUGAUGAAGGCCUUAGGGUUGUAAAGCUCUUUACCCGAGAUGAUAAUGACAGUAUCGGGAGAAUAAGCUCCGGCUAACUCCGUG